UACGGAGGGGGUUAGCGUUGUUCGGAAUUACUGGGCGUAAAGCGCGCGUAGGCGGAUUAGAAAGUUGGGGGUGAAAUCCCGGGGCUCAACCCCGGAACUGCCUCCAAAACUACUAGUCUAGAGUUCGAGAGAGGUGAGUGGAAUUCCGAGUGUAGAGGUGAAGUUCGUAGAUAUUCGGAGGAACACCAGGCGAAGGCGGCNCACUGGCUCGAUACUGACGCUGAGGUGCGAAAGUGUGNGGAGCAAACAGG
RNAcentral lists this ribosomal RNA (251 nucleotides) under uncultured bacterium. RNAcentral describes it as "partial 16S ribosomal RNA". It matches the Rfam family "Bacterial small subunit ribosomal RNA", at positions 524 to 776 of the family's 1533-position model. The record is from RNAcentral.